UAAUGACAUUAAAUUCAUAAUUUUUUUAAAACAAAGCAACAUACAGCUAAAAAUGUUUGAUAAGUAGUGGAAAUGAAUGGGGCUCUAUGGGUUGUUUGGAACUAUACAGAGCUCCACAACCCGGAAGCUGGGCAGAAAAAAUGUCCCGCCCCCUUUCCAACGGUUCCCUAUGGGAGUGUCGCCACUCUGUUCUCUCUACCGCUCUGGGCGUAGCAUGACAGGAUAUUGCUUUAGUUUAAAUGAAACAGGAGGUUUGGUUUCAUGGAAAACAAAGAAACAACCUACAGUGGCAUUAUCUACAUGUGAAGCUGAGUACAUGGCUUUAACAGCUACAGCACAGGAGAGUGUAUAUCUUGUCCAGUUACUGGGAGGUAUUGAUAAUGUAUACCAAUGUUCACCAGUGCAAAUUUUUGAGGACAAUCAAGGUGCAAUAGCUUUAGCUAAAGAUCCCGUGAGCAGACAAAGAUAAUGUUAUGACUAAACCUGCGACAAAGCACAUCAGUCUCUAUCUACGGACAGUCGGACACCUCGUUCUGCACAUGCGCACAUCCACACUGGACCGGAGAUACUUAUUGUAACCAACCGUCUCUGUCUCCACACAGAACUUUAAGUGAAAUACAAAUGUCGUGUUUUCAGUUCUUUUAUUCUGAAACAUGAGUCUAACAAAGUACGUGCUUGUGUAUUUAUUUGAAGAUGAAACUCCUGCCACAUGUGUUAUUGAGUCAGAGCUCAUUGAAGGUCAAAAGAAUCUGACAAGAUCUCAUUGACGGCUAAACUGUUGUCGUCAACUUAGUGAGAAAUAAAAAAAAAGACGUUUUUGUUAAGCCCUGUUGUACCAAGAGACUGUAAGAAAAGUGCUCUUCCCAAGUAAAAGAUUUAAUCUGACCAGUCAAACCAGCUGCUGACUCACAAUCAGAGCCAUAACAGGUGGAGAAUGCAGAGACGCCCUCAAUUACUACCUGACUAUUUGUUUAUUCCCCAUUUUCCAUUGAUUCAUUUAAAUGAAAUGCUUGAUGAUAAUAAUAAUAACAAUAACAUAUAAUAAAUACAAUAUAUUCUAACUAAUUUUACCUGUUUAUAAGGUAUAGAAAUCUUUUUAUUAUUUUUGUUCAUUAAACUGAAUUUGAUUAAUGAUAUAAAAUAUUUUUUG
This is a long non-coding RNA of Trichomycterus rosablanca, 1150 nucleotides long. RefSeq lists it as uncharacterized. Lineage: Eukaryota; Metazoa; Chordata; Actinopteri; Siluriformes; Trichomycteridae. The record is from RefSeq and is a predicted model, not a curated record. The transcript is spliced from 4 exons.